RNAcentral lists this ribosomal RNA (313 nucleotides) under uncultured eukaryote. RNAcentral describes it as "partial 18S ribosomal RNA". It matches the Rfam family "Eukaryotic small subunit ribosomal RNA", at positions 1470 to 1796 of the family's 1831-position model. The record is from RNAcentral.
CCCUUAGAUGUUCUGGGCUGCACGCGCGCUACACUGAUGCACUCAACGAGUUUACGACCUUGUCCGAGAGGAUUGGGUAAUCUUUUUAAAAUGCAUCGUGAUGGGGAUAGAUUAUUGCAAUUAUUAAUCUUCAACGAGGAAUUCCUAGUAAGCGCGAGUCAUCAGCUCGUGCUGAUUACGUCCCUGCCCUUUGUACACACCGCCCGUCGCUCCUACCGAUUGGGUGAGCCGAUGAAACUCUCGGAUGUAGGCUAUUCAUAGCCCGCAGAAGAGAUUUGAAUCGUAGCGCUUAGAGGAAGGAGAAGUCGUAACA